This 4461-nucleotide long non-coding RNA is filed under the name Brassica napus (rape). Its description in RNAcentral is "long non-coding RNA (BNAP_LNC005439)". Lineage: Eukaryota; Viridiplantae; Streptophyta; Magnoliopsida; Brassicales; Brassicaceae. The record is from RNAcentral.
CAACAGUUACAGCGUCAGGGUGACGGGCAACCUCAAUGACUCCUUGCUCCCCAGGAAUGAUCUCAGGUUUAUAGUCCAAACCGGCUAAAGCAUCUUUAAGCUCAUCGACCAAUGACUCUUUUCUAACAGCAACCAAUGCAGGUUUAAAUCUCUUUACCUGCAACCAUAAUAUAGAGGUUUCUCGAGAUCACUGAAGGUGUAGAAACUAAGUAACUAGUUUACAAUAUCUUUUUAAUGGUUGUGCCACUGAAACUGGCGAGUAAAAUUGAUGCCAGGAUAGUCUAAAGGAUGGUUGAAAAAAAAAUCUAAACAAGAAGCUGAUUUCACGGUUUGACCUGGCUGCACAACUAGUUUAGAGUAUCUUGCUAAUGACACUACCACUUAAGAGGGAGAUACAACUAAUUCCGGGAGGUCUUAAACAAUGAAUUGGAGACAGUAAUUACUGUAAACUAACACAUAAUGCCUAAUUUUACCUGAUCAGCAAGGAGAGCAACAUUCGAACCAGCAGCUAGAGCCACGACUCUAAAUUUGUCAGGAUUCUCGGCGACUAUAUCCAAUGUCUGCAAUUAAAAAACACACAUACAAGACUCCGUAAUCAAUAAGAAUGAUUAGUCUCAUCCAUACUUCUACUAGGAAAUCACUAAAGCAUUGCAUGAGUGAUAUGGUAAAAAAAAAACUCUUUCUUCUUUGUGCCUGCCUAUGGAGCUAGAAUAAUCUGGCAAAAGAGCAAGCAAACAAGGAAGGGAUAGAGAACCUGAGUGCCAAUGGAACCAGUAGAUCCAACGAUGGAGAUGGGUUUAGGUCCAUCCCAAGAUUGACGAGGAGGCUCGGGAACAGCUCUCCCAGGCCAUGCCGGAGGAGGUUGCUGCUGCUGCUGUUGCACUUUCACGGAACACUUGACGACUCCUUUUCCAAAACCUCUCCCUUGAUUCCUCUUCCUCAAGCUACACCCACCUGUGACAACUCCAAAGAUGUAAACUUUAAACUCUCAUCCAACUUUGAGAGUUGAACCAGCCGAUUAGUGUCUGAAUUCGAAGAAUUUACAGCGAAUCAGAUCAUGUGACACAGUUUGAAGAUACCCAGAUGUCGAAAUUCAUAAGAGCAUACGAAAAAACUAAUGAAAGAUUGAAGCUUUUUCUAGGAGAGAAACCUGGAAGUUUGGGGGUUUGGUUGAACCUGGAGGUCUCGAAGAAACAAAGAGAUAUGGAUUCAGCCGAUGGAGAGAGUGAGUUAAGUGUCAUCAUCAGUCUGUCUUUUCAAACAAAUCGAAUCUUUUUCCAGAGAGAACCCACUACUCCGUUUUUUUUUUUUGAUUCAGUUCGACGAUAGAGAGAAGAACAAGCAUAAACAGUGUGAGAGAUGAUAAGAAGAAUAUUAAUGAAUUAGUGGUAGUAGGAUCGCAAUUUGAAUGGUUCACGACAUUUUCUCAAUUUAUUUAAUAUCGUGUUUUUAACAUUGUUAUUGCUAAGAUCCGACUUUUUGGGGUUUUUAGUCAAAUCAAUUUCUAUUAAGAUAACGACAACAAGUUGUAAAAUGUAAACGGUAGCAUAUAUGCUGUCCCCAUUUUUCUUCUUUUUUUUUUUUUUUGGCUCAACUUCAACUUUUCAUUAACCAAAGGAGUAGUACAUGAUCUUAACCACAAAGGAUUCAACCACACUUACAAACAAAGUAAUCUAGUAUCACCCAGGAACACAUAGAUGGAUCCUACGCUACCCGAUCGAGACUUUGUUGUAAUUCUACCCAAUGAGUACAAGCAUUCCCCACGACUCGGAAAACACUGUCUCUUAGACCCCUAAAUUCGACCACACGAAUGAACAACGGGAAGUCCGAAGAUAAACUGAAACUAAUCAAAGUUUAACAUUUAGAAACCAAGCAUUAGUCGCCAAAAGAUAUGCGUUCCGGACUCGGACCAAUUCUUCAGCACCGAAAUGGUGCAACCUUGAUUAGAUUCAGCAUCACUGGACUUGACCGUCUCACUCCUUAGCCGGAAAGACGGCACAGAGCCGUACUGAUAAAAUCGGACCUGACAACCAACAAACACAACCGGAACAGCAUACCCUAGCUUCAAAUGGCGUGAGACCUUACCACCGGACAAUCUGCAGUGACGCCGGUGCUGGGAUGUAGGGCCUCACCGUGUGCGACCCGUGAAGCGUCCUCCACCGGUUGACUACUCCGACGGCGUUAAACUUCACCACACGUUGCCUCCGAGAACCGGAUAGACAAAACCAUCUUCUGCCGCUUGUUCAAACGCUUCUCCAUCUGUGUCACUGCCGCAAGGGGUAGAUCCAAGUCGGAGAAGGACUCCCACUGGGUCACGCGCCGUUGUCACGGAGUCCACGCCACAGAUCUGAAAGAUUGAAAACUAGAUCCGGCGGCCACUCCAGUCCUAAAAGCCGACCUCACUCUUACCAGUCGCGUCUCAGUCUCGUCUCUUUUCCAGGGCCACCGUCGCGUCUCCUUCGACCACCAUGAGUCUUGGGUGACGAAACGUUGAAACCAGAAUCGAGGACAUAUCAACCGGACUUGAAACAGAUGAGAAGAGAGGCAAAAGAAAAAGGAGGAAAAGGGAAGAAGACACAGCCUCCGGUACCGGCACGGCACCGGACCGGAGGAAUAAGCUCUGUUGGUGUGGCGGCUAGCGAGAGAGAGAGAGAGAGGAAACUGUCUCGAGUUUUUUAGUAAUUUUGUUUAAUUUGGUGACCUACCUCUCCAGUUAAUAAAAUUUAAUAAUUUUGAAUUAAAAAGAAAUAAGAAAAAAGGGUUGGAGUGUGAUGAAGAUAUCCAAAUAACUUAUCCUGUAAACAAAAACAACGUUAUACGGUUUCAAGAACACCCGAGAUGAACCCCCCACUUUUAAAAAAAAAACUUACUUUUCAUCAAUGAACAUUUCAACAGCUUUCUCGUUAGCUGCACUUAGAACUCCAGUCAUAGUACCUCCAGCUCGUCCCGCAGCAUAAGCAAGAUCCAUUGAUGGAUAUUUCACAUUAUCUGGUUUCUUGAAUGUCAACGAACCCAGUCUACCCACAAUCACACAAUCUUAAACCAUUUUUUUGGUUUUUAUAUAUUUGAACCGAACCAAAAUAUAUAUAGCUGUGGGUUGGCUUACUUGCAAAGGUCAAGUCUUGGCCAAGUUACUUCAGAACAAGGAACCCUGUCGGGCCAUGACAUGGUGUAGAGAAUCGGCAAACGCAUAUCAGGCCAUCCCAGUUGAGCAAGCACAGAUGAAUCCUAUCGAACAAAAAACGUUAAAACCCUGUUUCUGAAAACCAUAAGAUGGAAAUGUAGUUUUUGUUUUCGGCAAGCAAGACCUGAGUUUCAAUCAUGGAGUGUAUGAUACUCUGAGGAUGAAUGACAAUCUCUAUAUCGUCAUACUCAGCUCCAAACAAAUAAUGAGCUUCAAUGACCUCAAGACCCUGGUUUCAAGAAAAUCAAGAACUCCAUCCAUCUUAGUACCUUGAUCAAAUGAUAACUUUUUUUAAAUCAAGAGUUUAGUUCGAGAAAAAAGAACCUUGUUGAAAAGAGUAGCUGAGUCGACUGUGAUUUUCUUUCCCAUGCUCCAGUUAGGAUGCUUCAACGCAUCUGCUACUUUAACUUCCUUGAGCUUUUCAACUGGCCAAUCUCUAUAUCCAAUGAGCAUUUCUUAGUAACCAAACGAGAGGAAAUAUUUAUAGAGAGCGAGAAGAAUAGCACAUAGGUGUUGAAGCAAACCUAAAAGCUCCACCAGAUGCAGUCAAGAUUAUCUUGCGCAGAGCGCCUUCAGGCAAACCUUGAAUACACUAUAAAAGAAGAAAACAGGAAUCACUCAAUUAGCCAGAGAUAGAAGUUGCUUAAGGCCAAGAAGUAUAAGUCUGAUACCUGAAAUAUAGCUGAAUGUUCUGAAUCAGCUGGAAGAAUCUUAACAUUAUGUUUGUUGGCAAGUGGAAGCACGAAGGGACCACCUGCUAUUAGUGUCUCUUUGUUUGCAAGGGCAAUGUCCUUUCCCGCUUCAAUUGCAGCAACCGUAGGCUGCAUGCAAAGAAAGCAACUUUCAAGUUCAUAUUCUCAAAAUAAGGUUUUAGUAACAAAAUACUAUAUAUUAGAGUUUAUUAUAUACCUUUAGACCUGCGCAACCUACAAUACCGGUAACAACAGUUACAGCGUCAGGGUGACGGGCAACCUCAAUGACUCCUUGCUCCCCAGGAAUGAUCUCAGGUUUAUAGUCCAAACCGGCUAAAGCCUCUUUAAGCUCAUCGACCAAUGACUCGUUUCUAACAGCAACCAAUGCAGGUUUAAAUCUCUUUACCUGCAACCAUAAUAUAGAGGUUUCUCGAGAUCACUGAAGGUGUAGAAACUAAGAAAGUAGUUUACAAUAUCAUUUUUUAAUGGUUGUGCCACUGAACUGGCUAAUAAAAAUUGAUGCCAGGAUAGUCUAAAACGAUGGUUGAAAAAAAAUCUAAACAAGAAGCUGAUUAUUUCACGGUU